CAAAAAUAUAACCAAGUCACUACUCAAUUCAACUCUAUUAGCACAUUAGGUUUAGAUUCCAAACAAUAUCAAAACUCUUCAACAAUAUUUCAAAAUGAUAAGAGACACCACAAAAUAAAUAUCACUAAAUGUUGAACGGAAACUCCAAGAAGACCUGUAGCAUCUGGGCUAAGCACUCAUUUCUUUUUCUCUCCAGCACCCCCGGCUCUCAUUUUCCGUAGAACAGAAGACAUCUCCUCACGCUUCUUCUUAGCCCUCUUAUGAGUACCCAACUUUCUCUUUGCCAAUUUUAGUGCACGCUUAUCUUUCCCAACCUUUAGAAGCUCAGUAAUCCUCUUCUCAUAAGGA
This 348-nucleotide unclassified non-coding RNA is filed under the name Hevea brasiliensis (rubber tree). The record is from RNAcentral. Lineage: Eukaryota; Viridiplantae; Streptophyta; Magnoliopsida; Malpighiales; Euphorbiaceae.